This 380-nucleotide ribosomal RNA is filed under the name Pseudomonas sp. DR89. RNAcentral's name for it is "bacterial SSU rRNA". It matches the Rfam family "Bacterial small subunit ribosomal RNA", at positions 365 to 745 of the family's 1533-position model. Lineage: Bacteria; Pseudomonadati; Pseudomonadota; Gammaproteobacteria; Pseudomonadales; Pseudomonadaceae. The record is from RNAcentral.
UGGACAAUGGGCGAAAGCCUGAUCCAGCCAUGCCGCGUGAGUGAAAAAGUCUUCCGAUUGUAUAGCACUUUAAGUUGGGAGGAAGGGCAAUAAGUUAAUACCUUGCUGUUUUGACGUUACCGACAGAAUAAGCACCGGCUAACUCUGUGCCAGCACCGCGGUAAUACAGAGGGUGCAAGCGUUAAUCGGAAUUACUGGGCGUAAAGCGCGUAGGUGGUUCAGCAAGUUGGAUGUGAUAUCCCCGGGAUCUACCUGGAAACUGCAACAAACUACUGGGCUAGAGUACGGUAAAGGGUGGAGGAAAUUCGUGUGUAGCGGCGAAAUGGGUAUAAAUCGAAUGUACACCACGGCGAAAAGCGAUAACCUGAUUGAUUCGUGCC